This 1310-nucleotide ribosomal RNA is filed under the name Triticum aestivum (bread wheat). RNAcentral describes it as "partial small subunit ribosomal RNA". Lineage: Eukaryota; Viridiplantae; Streptophyta; Magnoliopsida; Poales; Poaceae. The record is from RNAcentral.
GGGGCGGGGACGGGUGUUAAAGGCGACGGCGGCGGCAGGAGCCCCAGAGGCAGGUCUGAGGCCUGGGCAGGGACGGCGGUGGCCGCGGGUAUCGGAACUAAAGGGCAGGGGGAGGUAGCGGACGGAAAGGGCCGGGGAAGCGACGGUGUUGUACCCGUAGAAGCGACCGGGCUCAAAGGUGGCUGCCGCCACUCGUAUAGGGUCUAGGGGAUUGGGGUAGGUGAGUACGGAAGGGGUCACGGCACCGGUUCCUGUCGAGGCAGGCGGCCCUCGAAGUGUUUGGUGGUGAUCGGGAGUGCUUCCUGGUUCAGUCGCGGGAGGAGAAGGAGGAGAGUCCUUUUUUAGAGCAGAGGUUGUUCGAGCCGCUACGACGGUGGUUACCGCGCUACAGAGUACUUUCGAACAGGAUCUCCGUACGGCGACCGUGGCCACCCGGGAGUGACUAGAAUAGGUUCGGUAAACUCCUAUACGGCACAGUUCUAAGAUACGAACCAGAAGAACCAAACUGUAGGUUAAGUUUUUAUACAAGUGAAGGGACCUCGUCAGUAUCGCCGUCACCACCUCGCACUGUUCGUUGGUUCACCGCGGUUUAAGUUUGAAUUUCUUUUUAUACACACUAUUUAACUUUUGUCCACGCCGAAUUCCUUCCACGCCGAAUCUACGUCGUCGUUCGGCGGCCACUACUAGCCACCGCGUGUUAUGCCGUCCUCGUAAUCUACUGCUCUUCCCGUCGUAGUCACGACCGCACGUCUACGUCGUCGUUCGGCGACCACUACUAGCCACCGCGUGUUAUACCGUCCUUGUACUCUACUGCUCUUCCCGUCAUCGUCACGACCGUACGUCUACGUUGUUGUUCGGCGACCACUAAUAGCCACCACGUGUUAUGCUGUCCGUAAUUGUAAGCACCGCACGUCUACGUCGUCGUUCGGCAGCCGGUUACGAAUCACCCCGCGUCUUGCUGUACUAUUUACCUACUGUCUCUUCCACCGCAGUGUGGGGACAAACAGGAGGUACUCGGAGGCGGUCACGUAUCUCCAUGCAUCGGUGGAUCGCGAACCUACACUCCUGAACCUCACAGUACGUUGUAAACCGACAAACAGCAUAAAACCUAGUCGGAUGAAGGUAACAUAGUACUUAGAAUACACACAAAACCUGGUAAACCACGAAGUUCAGAAAACCUAAUCUUUGAAACACGAGUACCUACAUUGAACAGACAUUUGAGAAGGUCUGGUCGUUUAUCACCAGGAAUACAGUGAACACACAAAACCUACCAGUAUGAUACGAAUAACAACACAAACACUUGGAUACAC